This 62-nucleotide transfer RNA is filed under the name Psylla alni. Its description in RNAcentral is "tRNA-Trp". The record is from RNAcentral. Lineage: Eukaryota; Metazoa; Arthropoda; Insecta; Hemiptera; Psyllidae.
GAAAGUCUUAAGUUAAUUAAACUACUAGCCUUCAAAGUUGAAAAUGAUAUCUUUCAGGCUUU